Molecule: ribosomal RNA, 439 nt
Filed under: uncultured bacterium
Lineage: Bacteria
Description: partial 16S ribosomal RNA
Rfam family: Bacterial small subunit ribosomal RNA
Source: RNAcentral
CUACGGGGGGCUCCAGUGAGGAAUAUUGCACAAUGGGGGGAACCCUGAUGCAGCAACGCCGCGUGGAGGAUGACGCAUUUCGGUGUGUAAACUCCUUUUAUAUGUCAAGAAAAUGACGGUAGCAUAUGAAUAAGCACCGGCUAACUCCGUGCCAGCAGCCGCGGCAAUACGGAGGGUGCAAGCGUUACUCGGAAUCACUGGGCGUAAAGGACGCGUAGGCGGGUUGGAAAGUCAGGUGUGAAAUCCUACAGCUUAACUGUAGAACUGCACUUGAAACUUCUAAUCUAGAGUAUGGGAGGGGGAGAUGGAAUUAGUGGUGUAGGGGUAAAAUCCGUAGAUAUCACUAGGAAUACCUAAAGCGAAGGCGAUCUCCUGGAACAUUACUGACGCUAAGGGGUGAAAGCGUGGGGAGCAAACAGGAUUAGAUACCCGCGUAGUC